RNAcentral lists this ribosomal RNA (811 nucleotides) under Escherichia coli. RNAcentral describes it as "partial 23S ribosomal RNA". It matches the Rfam family "Bacterial large subunit ribosomal RNA", at positions 419 to 1230 of the family's 2925-position model. The record is from RNAcentral. Lineage: Bacteria; Pseudomonadati; Pseudomonadota; Gammaproteobacteria; Enterobacterales; Enterobacteriaceae.
GGGACACGUGGUAUCCUGUCUGAAUAUGGGGGGACCAUCCUCCAAGGCUAAAUACUCCUGACUGACCGAUAGUGAACCAGUACCGUGAGGGAAAGGCGAAAAGAACCCCGGCGAGGGGAGUGAAAAAGAACCUGAAACCGUGUACGUACAAGCAGUGGGAGCACGCUUCGGCGUGUGACUGCGUACCUUUUGUAUAAUGGGUCAGCGACUUAUAUUCUGUAGCAAGGUUAACCGAAUAGGGGAGCCGAAGGGAAACCGAGUCUUAACUGGGCGUUAAGUUGCAGGGUAUAGACCCGAAACCCGGUGAUCUAGCCAUGGGCAGGUUGAAGGUUGGGUAACACUAACUGGAGGACCGAACCGACUAAUGUUGAAAAAUUAGCGGAUGACUUGUGGCUGGGGGUGAAAGGCCAAUCAAACCGGGAGAUAGCUGGUUCUCCCCGAAAGCUAUUUAGGUAGCGCCUCGUGAAUUCAUCUCCGGGGGUAGAGCACUGUUUCGGCAAGGGGGUCAUCCCGACUUACCAACCCGAUGCAAACUGCGAAUACCGGAGAAUGUUAUCACGGGAGACACACGGCGGGUGCUAACGUCCGUCGUGAAGAGGGAAACAACCCAGACCGCCAGCUAAGGUCCCAAAGUCAUGGUUAAGUGGGAAACGAUGUGGGAAGGCCCAGACAGCCAGGAUGUUGGCUUAGAAGCAGCCAUCAUUUAAAGAAAGCGUAAUAGCUCACUGGUCGAGUCGGCCUGCGCGGAAGAUGUAACGGGGCUAAACCAUGCACCGAAGCUGCGGCAGCGACGCUGAUGCGUUGUUGGGUA